CAGAGAAUAGUUUAAUGUAAAAUAUUAAUUUUGGAGAUUAAUGAUAGAAAUAUUUCUUUCUCUGA
RNAcentral lists this transfer RNA (65 nucleotides) under Episymploce torchaceus. RNAcentral's name for it is "tRNA-Pro". Lineage: Eukaryota; Metazoa; Arthropoda; Insecta; Blattodea; Blattellidae. The record is from RNAcentral.